Oncorhynchus nerka (sockeye salmon) is the source of this 418-nucleotide long non-coding RNA. RefSeq lists it as uncharacterized. The record is from RefSeq and is a predicted model, not a curated record. NCBI's taxonomy places the organism in Eukaryota, Metazoa, Chordata, Actinopteri, Salmoniformes, Salmonidae. The transcript has 3 exons.
UGAAGUGUGUUGUGUGUAAGUGAAGUGGAUUGUUGUUUUAUUGCUAGGCCCUGACUCUACUCGACUACCUGAUCAAAACGGGCUCGGAACGUGUGGCGCAGCAGUGCAGAGAGAACGUCUACACCAUACAGACCCUACGGGACUUCCAGUUCACAGACAGGGAUGGCAGGGACCAGGGGGUGAAUGUUAGGGAGAAGGCCAAGCAGCUGGUGGCCCUGAUGAGGGAUGAGGAGAGGCUGAAACAGGAGAGGACCCUGGCCCUGAAGACCAAGGAGAGGAUGGCUGGAGCAGCUGCAGGGUCAGGGAUGGGCUCUAGUUCUCUACCUCCACCCUACCCAGGCCGCCGUACCAGCCAGCCCAGCAUGACUGCUCUCUACGGGGAUGACUUCAGCCGGUCCAGGGAGUCCCAUUCCUCUUU